UACGUAGGGCGCAAGCGUUGUCCGGAAUUAUUGGGCGUAAAGAGCUCGUAGGCGGUCUGUUGCGUCCGCUGUGAAAACUCGGGGCUUAACCCCGAGCCUGCAGUGGAUACGGGCAGACUAGAGGUAGGUAGGGGAGAAUGGAAUUCCCGGUGUAGCGGUGAAAUGCGCAGAUAUCGGGAGGAACACCGGUGGCGAAGGCGGCAUCCUGGACCAACAUUGACGCUGAGGAGCGAAAGCCAGGGGAGCAAACGGG
This 253-nucleotide ribosomal RNA is filed under the name uncultured bacterium. RNAcentral's name for it is "partial 16S ribosomal RNA". It matches the Rfam family "Bacterial small subunit ribosomal RNA", at positions 524 to 776 of the family's 1533-position model. The record is from RNAcentral.